This 255-nucleotide ribosomal RNA is filed under the name uncultured Atopobium sp. Its description in RNAcentral is "partial 16S ribosomal RNA". It matches the Rfam family "Bacterial small subunit ribosomal RNA", at positions 101 to 354 of the family's 1533-position model. The record is from RNAcentral. Lineage: Bacteria; Bacillati; Actinomycetota; Coriobacteriia; Coriobacteriales; Atopobiaceae.
AACGGCUGAGUAACACGGUGGGCAACCUGCCUUUGCACUGGGAUAGCCUCGGGAAACCGAGGUUAAUACCGGAUACUCCAUAUUUGUCGCAUGGCGAAUAUGGGAAAGCUCCGGCGGCAAAGGAUGGGCCCGCGGCCUGUUAGCUAGUUGGUGGGGUAGUGGCCUACCAAGGCAAUGAUGGGUAGCCGGGUUGAGAGACCGACCGGCCAGAUUGGGACUGAGACACGGCCCAGACUCCUACGGGAGGCAGCAGGC